GACGAACGCUGGCGGCGUGCCUAAAACAUGCAAGUCGAACGGGGGAGCAAUCCCUAGUGGCGAACGGCGGAGUAAUACAUGAGGAACGUGCCCUGAAGACUGGGAUAGUCGUUGGAAACGACGUUUAAUACCAGAUGUGGCGGAGGCUUGGCAUCAAGCUUCCACUAAACGGUUUUUCGCUUCAGGAGUGCCUCAUGGCCUAUCAGGUAGUUGGUGAGGUAAUGGCUCACCAAGCCGACGACGGGUAGCGGGUCUCAGAGGAUGAUCCGCUCGAGUGGGACUGAGACACGGCCCACACACCUACGGGUGGCAGCAGUUGGGAAUCUUGCACAAUGGGGGAAACCCUGAUGCAGCAACGCCGCGUGGAGGAUGAAGGGUCUAGGCUCGUAAACUCCUUUUAUGGGGAAAGACUUAGGGCGGUACCCCAUGAAUAAGGACCGGCUAACUACGUGCCAGCAGCCGCGGUAAGACGUAGGGUCCAAGCGUUGUCCGGAUUUACUGGGCGUAAAGAGCGCGUAGGCGGCUCGUUAAGUGUGAAGUGAAAUCUCUAGGGCUCAACCCAGAAACUGCUUUACAUACUGGCGAGCUAGAGGGAUGCAGAGGUUUGUGGAAUUCCUGGUGUAGCGGUGAAAUGCGUUGAUAUCAGGAGGAACACCCAUGGCGAAGGCAGCAAACUGGGCAUCAUCUGACGCUGAGGCGCGAAAGCGUGGGUAGCAAACAGGAUUAGAUACCCUGGUAGUCCACGCCCUAAACGAUGGAUACUAGGCGUAAGAGGUAUCGACCCCUCUUGUGCCGCAGCU
Molecule: ribosomal RNA, 800 nt
Filed under: uncultured bacterium
Lineage: Bacteria
Description: bacterial SSU rRNA
Rfam family: Bacterial small subunit ribosomal RNA
Source: RNAcentral